UCGGCAGUUUAUUCAUUCCAUCUUCAUUAUUUCUGCAGCUGGAUUUCUCCACUUUUCGUUUUCCCACUUCACCUUUCUACUACCACCGAAGAGGAAUUUAUUGAUCGUCAACCCUAAAAUCAUCCUCAUACAAAUGGGCCAACAACAAUCGAAGGAUGAGUUACUGUACCAGCAAGUCAAUUAUUGUAACAUCGAGGGAAUUAAAGCUCUCCAUAGAGAUGGCUCUGGACUGGAGUGGGUUGAUAGAGAUGGGAAAACACCUCUGAUUGCCGCUUGCCUGAAUUCAGAACUGUACAGUGUUGCUAAGACUUUGAUUGAAUUAGGUGCUAAUGUCAAUGCAUAUCGUCCAGGACUUCAUGCAGGGACUCCAUUGCAUCAUGCUGCUAAAAGAGGCCUUGAACAGACUGUUAAGUUACUUCUUUCUCACGGUGCAAAUGCAUUAAUAAUGAAUGAUGGUUGUCAAACUCCCCUUGAUGUUGCUAGAGCCAAAGGGCAUAACAAUGUUGUUCGUGCAAUUGAGAAUCAUAUCUGCCUUUUUGCUGGUUGGUUGAGGGAGAUUUAUGGUCCUGGCUUCCUUGAAGCAUUUGUGCCACAACUUCUUUCAAGGAAAGUUUGGGUUGUUGUCUUACCAAAUGGCUCUUCCCGCGAUCUUUCAAAGCCUUUCAAGUUGGAGCUUGCUAUGUACUCCACUGUGCAGGAUGCCCAGCCUCGAACUCGUAUUCCACUGUGGAAAGCCAAUUUAGAAGAGCCAAAUUUUAGCGUCGCCGAUCCCACAGUGAUAAUUGUUGAUAUCUCCAACAAAACACGCAUUAAACUUGGAUCUGCAAAUGUAAGCGACAAACACCAAUUGCAGAUGUUCUGCAAUGCAUGCAAGGGCAUUCCCCAGGUAAUUCAUUCUACCCUCCCAAUCAUUGCUCAAAUGCCGAUUGCUCCUCCAGCAGCAGUACCUGAAGAAGAAGAUAAGGAGUUAGCUAUGGCAAUUCGUGCUUCCUUACAAUCUGCAAUGGAAGUAGGACCAGCUCAUACCAAUACCUCCAAUGCAUCUUCAAGUAAUAAUUACAAUGGUUGGGAUACUUCAACAAAUCCUUCUUCAGAAACCUUACAAUCUGCAAUGGAAGUAGGACCAGCUCAUACCAAUACCUCCAAUGCAUCUUCCAGUAAUAAUUACAAUGGUUGGGAUACUUCAACAAAUCCUUCUUCAGAAGCCAGCAAUGGGUGGGAGAUUGAGGAAGCUAGCACAAGCAACAACAAAAGGCCGUCUAAAAAUGCCCAUAACGCCCCCUCAGAUCUAAUCUUCAGUACGGCUAUAACUGCUGUUCCAUCUGCCCCGCCAAUUGAACAAGCUGUCAUAGAGGAUGGUCCUAUUCACUAUCCUUCAAUUGAUAUCGGCCCUCUUGAUUUAUCUUCACCUACAAUAGAGGAUGUGCCAACUAAAACUAAGAAAAAAGAAGAUACUAAUUUCUCUUCAUCUUGUGUUAUUUGUUUGGAUGCCCCAACUGAGGGUGCUUGCAUUCCAUGUGGUCACAUGGCUGGAUGCAUGUCUUGUUUAAACGAGAUUAAAGCAAAGAAUUGGGGCUGCCCUGUUUGUCGUGCCGAUAUUGUCCAGGUUGUGAGGCUUUAUGCUGUAUGAUACCAUGUGAUUUUGAUGAAAUCCAAGGAGUUGGGCUAGCUGUUGCAAUGAAAGAAAUUUGUGGUCAUUUAAUAAUCAUAUGUGUUGUUGGCCCCAAUUUCUUCACCAAUUGGCAGCUUUUAAUCAAUUUGAGGGUCCCUUAAUUUGCCAAUUUAGCUACAAAUCUGAGGAAGGCUGGGAUUUGCUUAUGUCAUUUCUUUGUUUUUAUUGUAUUUGGAAAUGCUGGUCCCAAUGCUUAUACUGAAAAUGUUGGUCCCAAGUAAGUUUUCUCUUUUUUAAUAACUAUGGAUAAAGAGAAUAUAGCUAUUUAUUUCAAAUUCAACAAUAAGGCCUUCUAAAAGGGUUUAUUUAA
Molecule: RNA transcript, 1982 nt
Organism: Impatiens glandulifera
Lineage: Eukaryota; Viridiplantae; Streptophyta; Magnoliopsida; Ericales; Balsaminaceae
Gene name: putative E3 ubiquitin-protein ligase XBAT34
Exons: 11
Source: RefSeq, a predicted model, not a curated record